GACGAACGCUGGCGGCGUGCUUAACACAUGCAAGUCGAACGGAAAGGCCCUGCUUUUGUGGGGUGCUCGAGUGGCGAACGGGUGAGUAACACGUGAGUAACCUGCCCUUGACUUUGGGAUAACUUCAGGAAACUGGGGCUAAUACCGGAUAGGAGCUCCUGCUGCAUGGUGGGGGGUGGAAGGUUGCGGCGGUUGGGGAUGGACUCGCGGCUUAUCAGCUUGUUGGUGGGGUAGUGGCUUACCAAGGCUUUGACGGGUAGCCGGCCUGAGAGGGUGACCGGCCACAUUGGGCCUGAGAUACGGCCCAGACUCCUACGGGAGGCAGCAGUGGGGAAUAUUGCACAAUGGGCGGAAGCCUGAUGCAGCAACGCCGCGUGCGGGAUGACGGCCUUCGGGUUGUAAACCGCUUUCGCCUGUGACGAAGCGUGAGUGACGGUAAUGGGUAAAGAAGCACCGGCUAACUACGUGCCAGCCGCCGCAGUAA
This 484-nucleotide ribosomal RNA is filed under the name uncultured bacterium. Its description in RNAcentral is "partial 16S ribosomal RNA". It matches the Rfam family "Bacterial small subunit ribosomal RNA", at positions 28 to 523 of the family's 1533-position model. The record is from RNAcentral.